Molecule: ribosomal RNA, 967 nt
Filed under: Escherichia coli
Lineage: Bacteria; Pseudomonadati; Pseudomonadota; Gammaproteobacteria; Enterobacterales; Enterobacteriaceae
Description: partial 23S ribosomal RNA
Rfam family: Bacterial large subunit ribosomal RNA
Source: RNAcentral
GGAAAGGCGCGCGAUACAGGGUGACAGCCCCGUACACAAAAAUGCACAUGCUGUGAGCUCGAUGAGUAGGGCGGGACACGUGGUAUCCUGUCUGAAUAUGGGGGGACCAUCCUCCAAGGCUAAAUACUCCUGACUGACCGAUAGUGAACCAGUACCGUGAGGGAAAGGCGAAAAGAACCCCGGCGAGGGGAGUGAAAAAGAACCUGAAACCGUGUACGUACAAGCAGUGGGAGCACGCUUAGGCGUGUGACUGCGUACCUUUUGUAUAAUGGGUCAGCGACUUAUAUUCUGUAGCAAGGUUAACCGAAUAGGGGAGCCGAAGGGAAACCGAGUCUUAACUGGGCGUUAAGUUGCAGGGUAUAGACCCGAAACCCGGUGAUCUAGCCAUGGGCAGGUUGAAGGUUGGGUAACACUAACUGGAGGACCGAACCGACUAAUGUUGAAAAAUUAGCGGAUGACUUGUGGCUGGGGGUGAAAGGCCAAUCAAACCGGGAGAUAGCUGGUUCUCCCCGAAAGCUAUUUAGGUAGCGCCUCGUGAAUUCAUCUCCGGGGGUAGAGCACUGUUUCGGCAAGGGGGUCAUCCCGACUUACCAACCCGAUGCAAACUGCGAAUACCGGAGAAUGUUAUCACGGGAGACACACGGCGGGUGCUAACGUCCGUCGUGAAGAGGGAAACAACCCAGACCGCCAGCUAAGGUCCCAAAGUCAUGGUUAAGUGGGAAACGAUGUGGGAAGGCCCAGACAGCCAGGAUGUUGGCUUAGAAGCAGCCAUCAUUUAAAGAAAGCGUAAUAGCUCACUGGUCGAGUCGGCCUGCGCGGAAGAUGUAACGGGGCUAAACCAUGCACCGAAGCUGCGGCAGCGACGCUGAUGCGUUGUUGGGUAGGGGAGCGUUCUGUAAGCCUGCGAAGGUGUGCUGUGAGGCAUGCUGGAGGUAUCAGAAGUGCGAAUGCUGACAUAAGUAACGAU